AAGAAGCUACUGGAAAAUCAAGGUGAGGAUCCAGAUAAUGAUGAUCAAGUUGAAGAGCAUACACAUGAUAAGGAUACUGCUACUGAGGAUCCAGUUCAAGAGAAUGCAACUGAAAAUGAUGUGGCUAUGGAGGAUCCAAAACAAAGGCAUGCAAUUGAUCAUGGUCCAGAUGAAAAUGAGGAGGAUCAAGCUGAGGAGGAUCAAGAUCAUGAAGGAAAAGACGCUGCCACUGAAAAAGCAACCUCUGGAGAUCAACCAGGUGUUCAAAUGCAGACUCCAACUAUCAAGGAUGCUGAAAAGCAAGAAAAAAAAGAGACUGCCAAAAAGAAGACGAGAACACUGGUAAAAAAUAUUCGAAUGAGGGAUGAUCGUAAACCAAAUGUCUAUCCACAUUAUGAUUAUAUCCCCAUCCAGAAAAAACAAAAGAAGGCAAAAUACAUAUAUGCUGUGAGUGACAGUGAAAGCCCUUCAAUUUUGCCGUCAGAAAGCCAACCAUUGGAUCUAAUAAUUGAGAAAGGAAAGGAGGAGCCCAAGGUUGAAUCACCCUUGAAUCCAAUUGCUAAAGAAAUAGCAAACAAACCUGCAAAGAAGGAUGCAAAGAAACCUGUAAAGCGAAAGCUUGACAAACGGUAUCAUCUACCUGCAUCAACAAGGGCGUACAAGUUACUUGCAGAUGAGACAAAAGAAAAAUUCAAGGAAUAUUACAGACAAGAGAAAAAUGUAAGUUUACAUUAUUAAUCAUAACUUAAUACAUGUGUACACACACACACACACAUAUAUACAUAGAUAUAUAAUACGUUUUAUUUUUCUGAUACAGGGACUACUUCUGGAUGCAGCCAAGGCAAGGGUCCAUUGUGAAUGACCUUGUUGUCCUAAAAUCAGAUCUGACAUCAUUGUUUGUGGAUGGAGCAAUCGAUGCCAACAUAAUUGAUGCUUCGUUCUACACAAUGGCAGAAAACGAAUAAAAAAUGAGGCAACAAAAAAAUAUGUAUCUUCUUCCUUCAUUCAUAUUUGUAAGUGCCAAACAGUUUUGUUUACAAAAAAGUUCAUUUUGAUAAAAUAGUUCAUUUUAUUUUGAUAAAAUAGUGUGGUUUUGUAGUUCAGUUUGAUAAAUAGUUCAGUUUGUUUUGAUAAAAAAGUGCGGUUUUCUAUUUCAGUUUGAUAUAUAGUUCAGUUUGCUAAAUAGUUCAGUUUAAUAAAUAGUUCAGUUUACUAAAUAGUUCAGUUUGCUUUGGUAAAAAAGUGUGGUUUUCUAGUUAACUUUGAUAAAUAGUUCAGUUUGAUAAAUAGUUCAGUUUGCUAAAUGGUUCAGUUUGAUAAAUAGUUCAGUUUGCUUUGGUAAAAAAAGUGUGGUUUUCUAGGUCACUUUGAUAAAUAGUUCAGUUUAUUUUGAUAAAAUAGUGUGGUUUUGUAGUUCAGUUUGCUAAAUGGUUCAGUUUGAUAAAUAGUUCAGUUUGCUAAUAGUUUAGUUUGAUAAAUAGUUCUGUUUGCUUUGGUAAAAAAGUGUGGUUUUCUACUUUAAUGUUGAUAAAUAGUUCAGUUUGCUAAAUGGUUCAGUUUGAUAAAUAGUUCAGUUUGCUAAAAGUUCAGUUUGCUUUGGUAAAAAAAUGUGGGUUUCUAGUUCACUUUGCUAAUAGUUCACUUUAAUAUGUAGUUCAGUUUGCUAAAUGGUUUAGUUUGAUAAAUAGUUCAGUUUGAUAAAUAAAUAGUUCAGUUUGCUAAAUGGUUUAGUUUGAUAAAUAGUUCAGUUUGAUAAAUAGGUCAGUUUACUUUGGUAAAAAAAGUGUGGUUUUCUAGUUCACUUUGCAAAUAGUUCACUUUAAUAUGUAGUUCAGUUUGCUUUGGUAACAAAGCGUGGUUUUCUAGUUCACUUUCAUAUGUAGUUCAGUUUGCUUUGGUAACAAACUGUGAUUUUCUAGUUCACUUUGCUAAAUAGUUCACUUUGAUAUUAGUUCAGUUUGCGAAAAGGCCUUGCAUUCACUUUAAAACUUUAAAUGUGUAUUCUUGGUUUAGAAUGAUAUGUGGAGAGAUUGAAAAAAAAAAUGUGUAUUUUUUUGUUCAGUUUAAGAAUUAGUAUUGCUCAUUAAUUAAGAUUAAUAAAUACAUGUGUAUUCUUGGUUCAGAAUGAUAUGGAGAUUGAGAAAAGCAAGAGUGAUCAGGAGCAUAUUGACAAAACAUUGCAGACAGUCUUGCAAGAUAAUGUGGAUAAAGUAGCAAAGGUCUUCAUAUUGAUCAGGCAUUACUUUCACUUCAGCUUGGUAGUUUGGGACAUUAAAAAUGGAAAAAUGACAAACUACAAUUCCAAACUACCAAGGGUACAUGGGAAUACAGACCUAUACUUUGAUCAUGUUGUUCAAGUGGUAAGAACAAAACUAUAAUUCAAUUACAAACUAUAUUCUUAUGCUGAUAGGAAAAAUCAAACUUCAUAAUACAAUUUCUUUUUUUGUUGUUUUUUUUUGUUUUUGUUUUUUUGAUUUUUUGGCAGAGAGACAAAAUUGAAGGAUUUUACAAAUAUUUCAAAGGAGACAGCAAUCUCACAAUAGAUAUUGAAAGAUGCUUAACUUGCGCCCAACAAAAGGAGGACUCGUAAAUACAAACAAGUUGAUCUCUAUAUUUUUCAAUUAAAUUUAUACAUUCAAACACAUAAGAAAGGACCAUGAAAAUCAUAUAUACACACACACUUUGAUAAAUAGUUCAGUUUGUUUUUUGGUAAAAAUAGUUCAGUUUGAUAAAUAGUUCACUUUGCUUUGGUAAAAAAGUGUGGUUUUCUAGUUCACUUUGAUAAAUAGUUCAGUUUAUUUUGGUAAAAUAGUGUGGUUUUGUUGUUCAGUUUGCUAAAUAGUUCAGUUUGCUAAAUGGUUCAGUUUGAUAAAUAGUUCAGUUUGCUAAAUAGUUCAGUUUGAUAAAUAGUUCUGUUUGCUUUGGUAAAAAAGUGUGGUUUUCUACUUUAAUGUUGAUAAAUAGUUGAGUUUGCUAAAUGGUUCAGUUUGAUAAAUAGUUCAGUUUGCUAAAAGUUCAGUUUGCUUUGGUAAAAAAGUGUGGUUUUCUAGUUCAGUUUGUUUUGAUAAAAAAGUGCGGUUUUUGUACUUCAGUUUGAUAUAUAGUUCAGUUUCAUAAAUAGUUCAGUUUGCUUUGGUAAAAAAGUGUGGUUUUCUAGUUCACUUUGAUAAAUAGUUCAGUUUGAUAAAUAGUUCAGUUUGCUAAAUGGUUUAGUUUGAUAAAUAGUUCAGUUUGAUAAAUAGUUCAGUUUAAUAUGUCAUCGAAUGUUAUAAUAUGAUCUCAUUAUCUGUCAUACUUAUUUAUUUAUCCAAAAAAAAAAAAUGCAGAUUGGAUUGUGGCAUAUUUGUCCUUCAAUUUGCAACCCAAGUGCAAGAGGGCAAACCGGUAGAAGCCACAUUUGAGAAGGAAAAUGUAUUUGCUAAAAGAGCUCAAAUUGCAACUACACUUGUGAAUCAUAAGAAUAGUUAUGCAAAUGGACUGAAGAAGAUACUUGAAGACAGAAGACAACAAAAUAAACAUGGUCAAUAUGAUGACAUUCCAGAUGAGGAUUUUAUUACAUUAGCUUGAGUUUUACAAAUUACAUUUUAUAUCAAUGUACAUCUACAUACAAAACCCCGAGCUCAGGUGGGCUUGUAUGCUGGUGCCCAUCCCAUACUUGCGUACAUUUUAUAAUUUUUUUUGCCCUAUAUGGCCUAAUAACAUUACUCAUCUAAAGAAACCAUAUAAAAAAUGAAAAAGAAGUUUAGUAUGAAGCCAAUUAACUUCGCAUACCUGAUGCUUUGAGUUAUAACUUAUAAGAAUGAGAACUAUAUUAAAAAAUUUCACAUGCUUACAUUUUGACACUUCCUUUUUUAUAUCAAUGUACAUCUACAUACAAAACCCCGAGCUCAGGUGGGCUUGUAUGCUGGUGUCCAUCCCAUACUUGCGUACGUUUUAUAAUUUUUUUGCCCUAUGUGGCCUAAUACCAUUACUCAUCUAAAGAAACCAUAUAAAAAUGAAAAAAAGAAGUUUAGUAUGAAGCCAAUUAACUUCACAUACCUGAUUCUUUGAGAUAUAACUUAUAAGAAUGAGAACUAUAUUAAAAAAUUUCACAUGCUUACAUUUUGACACUUCCUUUUUUUGUUAAAGUUCCAUUUUAUUAUCCAAAAAAUAUAUAGUUACCAAAUUAGAUAAAUUUAUGCAAAACAAAAAACUAGAUAACUUAAACUGUUUCUGAAAUAUAUGUACACACUAUAUCUAAAAAAUGAAAAAUAACAGCUUUUUUUUUUUUUUUUUUUUUUUCAGUUCCAAAUCAGCACCCCAUCCUUCACGCAUAAUUAACGCCCAGCAAAAAUCAUCAUUUCACUCUUCCGCUAACUUCACUUUCUCUCCCUAACACCACUCCCAUUUUCACGCACAGAUAAGCCACGAUGAAGAAACUGCAUGCACUAUAAAAAAAAACCAGAAACCCAGCCCCCAGCCCCCAGCUCAAAUCAUCAAUCCUCAUUUCCCGAUUUCGUACAUCAUUCCAGUUCUUUUACGGACGAAUUCACGCAAAUUUCAACUUCGCUGAGCAACUUGGUCGCAGAAAUACCCAGAAAAUAAACAGAAGGUAACAAUCUUACAAUUUUUCUCAACAUAUUUCGCAAAAUCAUACGGUUCAUUGUUUAUAUAACAAACAUCUACUGGAAUCCAGCAUAUAGAAUAACAUGCAUCAACUUAAACAAAACCCAGAUUAUACUAUUUGCUUAAAUUUAUUUUGUUAUUUACUAUCAGUACGAAUCCAUCACAGAUCCACCCAAGAAAAGACUAUUUACUAGCUAAUCGUUCAAUAUAUAAACAUACAUUAUGCUAUUACACGAACUAUUGUGAUUCUCUGUUUGUAAUUUUUAUAUUUGAGUAAAAUAGUUCACGAUUUUUAAGUUUAAUAAACACUGUUUACGAAAUAGUUUACAAUUUGCUUUCAUUUGUAAAUAGAAUUGAAAUGUACGGAAAUAGUAAAAUCUGGGAUGCAUUCACGAACAAGUAGUAUAAACAUAUAUUACGCUAUUGCAUGAACUAGUGUGAUUGUCUGUUAAUAAUUUUUACAUUCAGUAAAUAGUUUGUGUUUUUUAAAGUUUAAUAAACAGUGUUUACGAAACAGUUUACAAUUGCUUCAUUUAUAAAUAGAAUUGCAAUUUUUCCAGAUCUUACACAUAAAACACCUGCUAUUGUACAUUUUUAUUUCUAAUUUAUUUAGUUAUAUGAAUCUUAUAAAGAUUUAUGCACUUAUAAAAAUGUUUUCCAAUUCCAUAAAUAGUAAUUCACCUUGGUAUGUUUCAAAUAUAAUCGUGUACUUGUACUGAUUUUUUUUUGUUUACGAUCAAGUUGGAUUCUAAUAAAAACUAUAUUGACAGAUGGUUUCAGUUAGAAUAACUGUACAAAUGUCAAACUCAACCAAAGCCAAUGUCAAAAUGAUAUCCAAAACAACAAAGAGAACAGAACAAAGGAAAAUGCUUGGAAAAAAUAGAAAACAGAUCACGUACGAAGAAGGAAACAAUUCAUCUACAGAUUGACACCACUACUGAAGAAGAAGUUGGAGAACCAAUGCAAAUUGCAAAGAAAAAGGUGGAAAAAAAACAACCACUACAAAGGCAGAGGAAUUGGAAGACACAACCUAAAGAACAGAACAAUUGUGAAUCAAGGAUGCAGAGAAGAAAAGAUGCCAAACACUCCAACCACCAACAGCAAUCAAGAGAAAGAAAAAGGAAAAUGCCAAACCAGUUUCAGAAUCAAACAAGCAACAAAUUGAAGAAACAGAUAUUGAAGCUCUAAAAAGCAACAAUGCUCUCAACAAGAAUGAUCUACAAGUCAAAAAGCAAACAUUCAGCCAAAAAGCAGCAAAGCCAAAGACAAAAAAACAGAAAGAAACUCUUGGGUGAAAUUCCAUCAUUCAACCUGGAUUUAAAAGAUGAGCCUUCUUCACAACCGGAUGACCUUCCAGCAACAAAUCACAUAGACAGCAGUGUGAAUUGGACACAACUUCAAGUGUACAAGAUGCUGAAACCAGAUGAUAGAAGAAGAAUAACUCAAUUCUAGUCAAUAGACAUCAGGUAAGUAAUACAAAACAAAACUCUUAACUGAAGUUUUUACACACUCCCAUAACUUUAUAAGCACUGACGAAAUUAUUGUAUAACUAAUACUUUUGCACUGUCCUGCAGUGAUGAAUACUGGAUGGCUGAAACUACAGAUUUCAACUAUUACAGAAUAAUGGUGUUGAAAGAUGACAUGCACAGUUUGAUUGCAAAUGGACCUACAUCAACUCAGAUUGUUGAUUCUUUCUGCUACAUGAAAAGAGAAAAAGAGAACAUCACGAAACAAAAGAACUUCUAUGUCUCCACAACAAUCUUUUGUGAGCAAACAAAAACAACUAAUAUUCUGAAAAAAAUAAUUUACAUAUACAUAUAAAAAUUAGAACAAUUAAUCUGUAAUUAUGAUGUUUGAUGAUUUUCAUUUUCAACAGCACAACAUCAAUGAACAAAGCAUUGAAACAACUCUGCAAAACAAGGAAAGGCUCUACAACCAAUUGAUGGACCAAUAUGGAAUAGUAUCAAAGAUUUUCUUCCCAUUAUUUCAUUACAACCAUUUCUCCUUGGUAGUUUUGGACACAAAAAAUGCAGAAAUGAUUCACUACAAUUCUCUUCGACAAAGCACAACAGAUGAAGAUCUGGACUUUGAUUGCUACUGGGAAAAUUCAGAAAUUGUGGUAAGCAAAAAACGCACAACCAAAAACUCUGUCAUANNNNNNNNNNNNNNNNNNNNNNNNNNNNNNNNNNNNNNNNNNNNNNNNNNNNNNNNNNNNNNNNNNNNNNNNNNNNNNNNNNNNNNNNNNNNNNNNNNNNNNNNNNNNNNNNNNNNNNNNNNNNNNNNNNNNNNNNNNNNNNNNNNNNNNNNNNNNNNNNNNNNNNNNNNNNNNNNNNNNNNNNNNNNNNNNNNNNNNNNNNNNNNNNNNNNNNNNNNNNNNNNNNNNNNNNNNNNNNNNNNNNNNNNNNNNNNNNNNNNNNNNNNNNNNNNNNNNNNNNNNNNNNNNNNNNNNNNNNNNNNNNNNNNNNNNNNNNNNNNNNNNNNNNNNNNNNNNNNNNNNNNNNNNNNNNNNNNNNNNNNNNNNNNNNNNNNNNNNNNNNNNNNNNNNNNNNNNNNNNNNNNNNNNNNNNNNNNNNNNNNNNNNNNNNNNNNNNNNNNNNNNNNNNNNNNNNNNNNNNNNNNNNNNNNNNNNNNNNNNNNNNNNNNNNNNNNNNNNNNGGCGUGGAACAAGGCAUCGGCAGUAGCAGUAAUUUGGUUUCUUUUAUUCAGUUUUAUUUUAUGCAUAUUUUUUAGGGAGCUUUAAUGAAAAGGGAUUGAAUUAACUUUUAAUUAAUGAAAAACCACCCUAAACUAUUAUUUAAUGAAAAUGGCUUAAAUUUUAAUCAUAAGGACACAAAACUUUUUUAUCUUAGGCCCUACAAAACUAAAAACACACGGGCUCACCAAAAAGCCCAAACCGCAUAACAAUUAAUAUUCCAAAAUUACCCCUAACGGAGCCUAACCCAGGCCCCGUUAACUAAAGUUACUGAAAUUCAUCAUCCCUCCCAACGCCAUUAAUGUUCACCAAACCCUUACACCGUACUAAAAAAAACGAAACCUCCAUUGCUGCAAACGUCAAGUUCUCAAAGCGUUUUCAAGUUCGAUUCAAGUUUUCAAGCAAUAAUCUACACAUCAAAUCCGGAAUUUCUCAACCCACAAACUACAUUUGAGGACGAAAAACUGAAAACAUUCGAUCUGUACGUUUGCAGAGUCGAAAUCGGACAAACACAGGUACGAACCUAUAAUUUUUCUGAUAUUCUUGAUGAUUUCUUUCUUUAAUUUACUGAAUAUGUUGCAUUUGCAUGUUUGAGAUUCUAAAAAAGUGAAUUAUGUUUCCAGUUCACAGUUCUGAUUUGCAUCCAGACGAAAACACACAAAAAAUUUGCGAAAUAAAAGCAACAGAGAAGAAACAGAGGUAUGUACCACAAAAUUUCUGAUAUUUUUGGUGAUUUUACAGUAAUAUGUAAGUUUUGCAAUGCUUCGAAUAGCAAUGUUUCUGCAAAAUGGUAUAUUUUUACUUCACUUUGAUAACUGCUCGUUUUCUUAUAACCUUUAAAUAGUAUUUUCUUGCCCUCAUAUGUUGUUUUCUUUGCUUAAAUAACUUAAAUAUAAUCAACAUUCUAUUCUGGUGGUGUUUUAGUUUAAUAUAUAGUGUUUACAAAAUCUGGGAUGCAUUCACGAACGAGUGUGGUUUUCUACUUCAGUUUGAUAAAUAGUUCAGUUUGGUAAAUGGUUCAGUUUGAUAAAUAGUUGAGUUUGCUAAAUAGUUCAGUUUGAUAAAUAGUUCAGUUUGUUUUGUAAAAAAAUGUGGUUUUCUCGUUCAGUUUGCUAAAUAGUUCAGUUUGAUUUGUAAAAAAGUGUGGUUUUGUAGUUCACUUUGAUAAAUAGUUCAGUUUGCUAAAUGGUUUAGUUUGAUAAAUAGUUCAGUUUGUUUUGUAAAAAAAGUGUGAUUUUCUACUUCAGUUUAAUAAAUAGUUCAGUUUGCUUUGGUAAUAAAUAGUUGUAAUAAUUAAACUAUGUUUAUUCUUACAGAUGGACGGAACAAAGAAACUAAGAAUAAAGACUUUCGCUGUAAAGAGUCCACGUAAGAUAGAGAAUAUAAGACCAGCAACUUCUUAUGUUCAAUAUAGAUGCAACGUUUUCGGGUUUGCAAAUGCAAUGCAAUUGUACAGACCAAUGCUUUCAACAACGCCAAGAUGUCAUUCAAUCAUUUGGCCGAGACACACCAUUUUGGAGUCUAAUCAAGUUCUACAUAGAUGAUGAAAUUGUUGCAACGGACAGAAAAAAGAAGUCUGAUAUGGAUCUGAUCAAGAUCAUACAAUGCUAUGACUCCAAGCAACAACGGUUCAAAUUCGGAGAUCAUGAGCCAAAAGCAAUAACAAGUGAAGACGUCGUUCAAAUAUUUGGAUUGAACAACCAAGGGGUUGAACUACCAAACACAGACAAAUCCACAAAGAACAUGAAGGACAGCUUUGUCAAAACAUACUUUGCAAAGCAAAAAAUAGUGAAAAAAAAGGACAUUGUUGAAGCAUACCAAAAAUCAGUCCAAGACAAAACUCCUGAAGGGGCAAAAGCUACUGCUUCAAUUAUAUGUGUGCAUCUGCUACAAUCACUGUUAUUUGCAACAUCUGGAACUUACAUAGCGUGGAGCUUCAUAACAAUUUGUGGAGCUUUGGACCAAAUCAGCAAAUACAACUGGGCAAAAGGAGUGAGGGACUACUUGUUCAAGAGGAUUAACAAAUCAAAGAAAAAAAGGAAAAAUGGAGAAGAAUCAGCAAUAACAAGCGGAUGCACUACCCUUAUUUUGGUAAGAAAUAAGAACUAUAUUUAAAAAACAUGAAUUAUUUCUUAUAAAUUACACAAGAAAGUAAUUCAAAGUUCUUAUUUCAUGCAGUAUUGGAUUUGUCUUCACACCAAUCUGGUGGAGACAAUAAGUGGGCUAGAAAACAUGAUUCCUGUCAUUGGAAGAUGGGACAUAACGAAAAUCCACAAAGCAAUCAGAGACAUUCGAGUUGAAGAAAUUGAGGUAAGGAAAAAUAAUAAAAGUAUUUCAAUAAACAGUAUAUUUUUGCACCUUACAGUUUCAUAACAUAGUGAUCUUUACAGUUUAAAGUUUCAGAAGUGUCAUUUAUAUAAAACAGAUCCAGCAAUAGUGUCAUUUAUGCAAACUAGUGUGAUUCAAUAAAUAGUAACAGAAAUAGCGUAAAAAAGAAAAGUGUAUUUCAAUAAAUAGUUCAGUUUGUUUUGAUAAAAAAGUGCGGUUUUUUACUUCAGUUUAAUAAAUAGUUCAGUUUGCUAAGUGGUUCAGUUUGAUAUAUAGUUCUGUUUGUUUUGUAAAAAGAGUGUGUUUUCUAGUUCAGUUUGAUAAAUAGUUGCGUUUGUUUUGUAAAACAAUGUGGUUUUCUAGUUCACUUUGAUAAAUAGUUCAGUUUGCUUUCAUACAAAAGUGUGGUUUUCUAGUUAACUUUGAUAAAUAGUUCAGUUUGUUUUGGUAAAAAAGUGUGGUUUCUACUUCAGUUUCAUAAAUAGUUCAGUUUGCUUUGGUAAAAAAGUGUGGUUUUCUAGUUCAGUUUGCUAAAUAGUUCAGUUUGAUUUGGUAAAAAAGUGUGGUUUUGUAGUUCACUUUGAUAAAUAGUUCAGUUUGCUAAAUGGUUUAGUUUGCUAAAUGGUUUUAGUUUGAUAAAUAGUUCAGUUUGGUUAAAUGGUUCAGUUUGGUAAAUGGUUCAGUUUGCUAAAUAGUUGAGUUUGCUAAAUAGUUCAGUUUGUUUUGUAAAAAAAUGUGGUUUUCUAAUUCACUUUGAUAAAUAGUUCAGUUUGUUUUGUAAAAAGAGUGGUUUUCUAGUUCAUUUUGAUAAAUAGUUCAGUUUGCUUUCAUACAAAAGUGUGGUUUUCUAGUUAACUUUGAUAAAUAGUUCAGUUUGUUUUGGUAAAAAAAUGUGGUUUCUACUUCAGCUUCAUAAAUAGUUCAGUUUGCUUUGGUAAAAAAGUGUGGUUUUCUAGUUCAGUUUGCUAAAUAGUUCAGUUUGAUUUGGUAAAAAAGUGUGGUUUUUUAGUUCACUUUGAUAAAUAGUUCAAUUUGCUAAAUGAUUUAGUUUGCUAAAUGGUUUAGUUUGAUAAAUAGUUCAGUUUGGUAAAUGGUUCAGUUUGGUAAAUGGUUCAGUUUGCUAAUAGUUGAAGUUUGCUAAAUACUUUGAGUUUGCUAAAUAGUUCAGUUUGAUUUGGUAAAAAAGUGUGGUUUUGUAGUUCACUUUGAUAAAUAGUUCAGUUUGCUAAAUGGUUUAGUUUGCUAAAUGGUUUAGUUUGAUAAAUAGUUCAGUUUGGUAAAUGGUUGAGUUUGGUAAAUGGUUCAGUUUGGGUAAUGGUUCAGUUUGCUAAAUAGUUGAGUUUGCUAAAUACUUGAGUUUGCUAAAUAGUUCAGUUUGAUUUGGUAAAAAAGUGUGGGUUUUGUAGUUCACUUUGAUAAAUAGUUCAGUUUGCUAAAUGGUUUAGUUUGCUAAAUGGUUUAGUUUGAUAAAUAGUUCAGUUUGGUAAAUGGUUGAGUUUGGUAAAUGGUUCAGUUUGGUAAAUGGUUCAGUUUGCUAAAUAGUUGAGUUUGCUAAAUACCUGAGUUUGCUAAAUAGUUCAGUUUGAUAAAUAGUUCAGUUUGUUUUGUAAAAAAGUGUGGUUUUCUAGUUCAGUUUGAUAAAUAGUUCAGUUUGUUUUGUAAAAAAAUGUGGUUUUCUAGUUCACUUUGAUAAAUAGUUCAGUUUGCUUUCAUACAAAAGUGUGGUUUUCUAGUUAACUUUGAUAAAUAGUUCAGUUUGUUUUGGUAAAAAAGUGCGGUUUUCUACUUCAGUUUAAUAAAUAGUUCAGUUUGCUAAGUGGUUCAGUUUGAUAUAUAGAUCUGUUUGUUUUGUAAAAAGAGUGUGGUUUUCUAGUUCACUUUGAUAAAUAGUUCAGUUUGCUUUCAUACAUUAGUGUGGUUUUCUAGUUAACUUUGAUAAAUAGUUCAGUUUAUUUUGGUAAAAAACUGUGGUUUCUACUUCAGUUUCAUAUUAUGUAAUUUAACAACUAUUUAAUGUGUCACUGUGCAGAUUGGUGGAGGUAUUCCUUGUUCUGAAGAACCAAUAAGGGAGCAUUCCAACAUCAAUCAAGAAGAAUGUAAUGCCAUUCCUUAUCCUCAACAAAAUAAUGAGUCUUCCAAGAAAAAGGAAAAGAAGACACCGGGAAGGAAAAGGAAGAGAACUGAAGUUGGAGCUGAAGAAGAUCAAAGCAUCACCAUCAAUGAAGCUCAGUUACAGUUUGAUCAACUGUACCAAGAAGAAUUCAUGAAAUUUGAUGCAAGUUAUCAAAAGGACUUCUUCGGGAUUGAUAAUACAUUAGGUGUGGAAGAUUUUGAAAAGUUUAAAAGAUGUGCGAGCAUGGAUCAAAAGAGGUAUCUAGUCCUCAGUCACAUGAUGAUAUAUGCACUCGACAACCUACACACAAAUUCAAUUGUAAUGAAUGAAACAACUGGAGCCCUUAACAGAAACAUUGAAAAGCUUCUGCAAGAACGACUUGAGGACAAGCAGAAGAUUAGUUUAAUGAACACAGAAAUGAUACAGUUGCAAUUAAAUAACACAGCAGCUUCUAUGAAAGUAAAUAAAUUUCUGGAUGAAAUUGGAAGUUUGAAGAAGAAGCUACUGGAAAAUCAAGGUGAGGAUCCAGAUAAUGAUGAUCAAGUUGAAGAGCAUACACAUGAUAAGGAUACUGCUACUGAGGAUCCAGUUCAAGAGAAUGCAACUGAAAAUGAUGUGGCUAUGGAGGAUCCAAAACAAAGGCAUGCAAUUGAUCAUGGUCCAGAUGAAAAUGAGGAGGAUCAAGCUGAGGAGGAUCAAGAUCAUGAAGGAAAAGACGCUGCCACUGAAAAAGCAACCUCUGGAGAUCAACCAGGUGUUCAAAUGCAGACUCCAACUAUCAAGGAUGCUGAAAAGCAAGAAAAAGAGACUGCCAAAAAGAAGACGAG
This 12565-nucleotide long non-coding RNA is filed under the name Malus domestica (apple). RNAcentral's name for it is "long non-coding RNA (MDOM_LNC009076)". The record is from RNAcentral. Lineage: Eukaryota; Viridiplantae; Streptophyta; Magnoliopsida; Rosales; Rosaceae.